RNAcentral lists this ribosomal RNA (253 nucleotides) under uncultured bacterium. RNAcentral's name for it is "partial 16S ribosomal RNA". It matches the Rfam family "Bacterial small subunit ribosomal RNA", at positions 524 to 776 of the family's 1533-position model. The record is from RNAcentral.
GACAGAGGGUGCAAACGUUGUUCGGAAUUACUGGGCGUAAAGCGCGUGUAGGCGGCUUCGCAAGUCGGGUGUGAAAUCCCACGGCUCAACCGUGGAAGUGCAUUCGAAACUGUGAGGCUAGAGUCCUGGAGAGGAAGGUGGAAUGCUUGGUGUAGAGGUGAAAUUCGUAGAUAUCAAGCGGAACACCGGUGGCGAAGGCGGCCUUCUGGACAGUGACUGACGCUGAGACGCGAAAGCGUGGGGAGCAAACAGG